GGAAGUAAAGUCGUAACAAGGUCUCCGUAGGUGAACCUGCGGAGGGAUCAUUA
This 53-nucleotide ribosomal RNA is filed under the name Pseudocercospora cornicola. RNAcentral's name for it is "partial 18S ribosomal RNA". It matches the Rfam family "Eukaryotic small subunit ribosomal RNA", at positions 1778 to 1831 of the family's 1831-position model. The record is from RNAcentral. Lineage: Eukaryota; Fungi; Ascomycota; Dothideomycetes; Mycosphaerellales; Mycosphaerellaceae.